GCAGCGAAACGCGAUAGUUAAUGUGAAUUGCAGAAUUCAGUGAAUCAUCGAGUCUUUGAACGCACAUUGCGCCCAUCGGUAUUCCUUUGGGCAUGUCUGUUUGAGCGUCAUUACAAACCCUCAGCGCAAGCUGGUUUUGAGUUGUGAGGAAAAAAUGCCCCUUGGGGCACGCACCCUCUCGCUUUAAAGUUGUACGCUCUGCUGACCUUUAGCUCGGACUAAAAACAUAGUAAAUUCUUGCUUGUUUUACGGAACGGUUGAAGGAUCGGCCUGAACAAUACCUUCUACUUCUAAGGUUUGACCUCAGAUCAGACAAGGAUACCCGCUGAACUUAAGCAUAUCAAUAAGCGGAGGAAAAGAAACCAACAGGGAUUGCCUCAGUAACGGCGAGUGAAGCGGCAAAAGCUCAAAUUUGAAAUCUGGAGCCUUCGGCUUCCGAGUUGUAAUUUGAAGAGGAUGUUUCGGUUGCGGCUUGGGCCUAAGUUCCUUGGAACAGGACGUCAUGGAGGGUGAGAAUCCCGUAUAUGGCUCCCGGCUUGCCUCCAUGUGAAACUCCUUCGAA
This 562-nucleotide ribosomal RNA is filed under the name uncultured Orbiliaceae. Its description in RNAcentral is "eukaryotic LSU rRNA". The stretch from base 299 to 562 matches the Rfam family "Eukaryotic large subunit ribosomal RNA", at positions 1 to 261 of the family's 3401-position model. Lineage: Eukaryota; Fungi; Ascomycota; Orbiliomycetes; Orbiliales. The record is from RNAcentral.